This 661-nucleotide ribosomal RNA is filed under the name uncultured bacterium. RNAcentral describes it as "bacterial SSU rRNA". The stretch from base 1 to 537 matches the Rfam family "Bacterial small subunit ribosomal RNA", at positions 338 to 873 of the family's 1533-position model. The record is from RNAcentral.
CCUACGGGAGGCAGCAGUAAGGAAUAUUGGUCAAUGGGCGCAAGCCUGAACCAGCCAUGCCGCGUGCAGGAAGACGGCCCUAUGGGUUGUAAACUGCUUUUGAACAAGAGAAAACCUCGGUACGUGUACCGAGCUGAUAGUAUUGUUAGAAUAAGCAUCGGCUAACUUCGUGCCAGCAGCCGCGGUAAGACGAAGGAUGCAAGCGUUAUCCGGAUUCAUUGGGUUUAAAGGGUGCGUAGGCGGCCUGAUAAGUCAGUGGUGAAAUCUCUCAGCUUAACUGAGAAACUGCCAUUGAUACUGUCGGGCUUGAGUACAGAUGAUGUGGGCGGAAUAUGACAUGUAGUGGUGAAAUACUUAGAUAUGUCAUAGAACACCGAUUGCGAAGGCAGCUCACAAAACUGUAACUGACGCUGAGGCACGAAAGUGCGGGGAUCAAACAGGAUUAGAUACCCUGGUAGUCCGCACCGUAAACGAUGAUUACUCGUUGUUGGCAAUAUGACCGUCAGCGACGACGACGAAGACGAGUAAGUAAGUACCGACCGUACGGGAGGUACGGCCGGCCGAACCGGUACGAAACGUACGAAACGUAAGUAAGUUAGUACGGGACGGUUGGAGGACGUUAGGCCGGACGGGACGACCGACCGACGGGGAGGGUAGGGAG